UCUUCCACAAUGGGCGAAAGCCUGAUGGAGCAACGCCGCGUGAGUGAAGAAGUAUUUCGGGAUGUAAAGCUCUAUCAGCAGGGAAGAUAAUGACGGUACCUGACUAAGAAGCCCCGGCUAACUACGUGCCAGCAGCCGCGGUAAUACGUAGGGGGCAAGCGUUAUCCGGAUUUACUGGGUGUAAAGGGAGCGUAGGUGGCAGGGCAAGUCAGAUGUGAAAACCCGGGGCUCAACCCCGGGAGUGCAUUUGAAACUGUCCAGCGGGAGUGCAGGAGAGGUAAGCGGAAUUCCUAGUGUAGCGGUGAAAUGCGUAGAUAUUAGGAGGAACACCAGUGGCGAAGGCGGCUUACUGGACUGUAACUGACGCUGAGGUUCGAAAGCGUGUGUAGCAAACAGG
This 397-nucleotide ribosomal RNA is filed under the name uncultured bacterium. RNAcentral's name for it is "bacterial SSU rRNA". It matches the Rfam family "Bacterial small subunit ribosomal RNA", at positions 362 to 776 of the family's 1533-position model. The record is from RNAcentral.